RNAcentral lists this ribosomal RNA (347 nucleotides) under Psilopsocus malayanus. RNAcentral describes it as "partial 12S ribosomal RNA". Lineage: Eukaryota; Metazoa; Arthropoda; Insecta; Psocodea; Psilopsocidae. The record is from RNAcentral.
CCCUAUUAUGUUAAGAGUAGUAAAUGAUAAGAUCAGGAAACUUAAAGAAUUUGGCGGUGUUUAUUCUAACUAGGGGAAUAUGUUUUGAUAAAUCGAUAAUCCACGUGUAGUUUACUUAAUUUAAUUUAUUUUGUAUAUCUCCGUCUUAAAGAAUUUUUUAAAAAUAUAUUUUUUAUAUUAAAAAUUAAAAUAAGUCAGGUCAAGGUGCAAACUAUAUUUAAGAUAAAAUGUAUUACAAUAAAAUUAUUUUUGGAUUUAAUUUUUUAUAAAAUUAAUGAAAAUGGACUUAUAAGUAAAUCAAUUUAUAUAAUAAUUGGUUGAAUGGUGUUAAUAAAUAUGUACACAUC